Unclassified non-coding RNA from Neogale vison (American mink), 133 nucleotides. NCBI's taxonomy places the organism in Eukaryota, Metazoa, Chordata, Mammalia, Carnivora, Mustelidae. The record is from Ensembl.
CUUUCUGCCCCCUUUCCUGGAGAGGAACUGUUCAUGUCUUGGAGAAGAAGAGACAAAUUCCUUCAAAAACAGCAGCACGGCCUCCCUUGGCCCCCGCGCAGCAGGCGCCCCGCGCUUUAUUGGAGGUUUACGU